GUGAAGGCUAUGCGACCUUGAACAAGAUACAAUGCAGCAAAACUGUGGUUGUCCAUCUGAGGGUUUCACUAACUGAUUUGCCAGAUCCAAGAACAAUUCUGGGAGAAAGAAGCUUUCUGAUAGCCUUCAAUGUACUUGCAAGCCAGGAAAAAUGUUCCCAUAGUGUGCUGAGGGCAUCUUCACAUGUUAUGUAGAAG
Molecule: long non-coding RNA, 197 nt
Organism: Podarcis raffonei (Aeolian wall lizard)
Lineage: Eukaryota; Metazoa; Chordata; Lepidosauria; Squamata; Lacertidae
Exons: 3
Source: RefSeq, a predicted model, not a curated record